CCUACGGGUGGCAGCAGUAGGGAAUCUUGCUCAAUGGACGAAACUCUGAAGCAGCAACGCCGCGUGAGUGAUGAAGGUUUUCGGCUUGUAAACUCCUGUUGUUAGAGAAGAUAGUUACAGUAUCUAACUGGUCUUCACCUGCUAACUCCUUCCCAGCAGCCGCGGUCAUACUGAGGGUGCAAGCGUUAGUCGGAAUGACUGGGCGUAACGAGCGCGGAGGCGGGACAGCAAGUCUGAUGUGAAGUCCUACGGCUCAACCAUAGAACUGCAUCAGAAACUGUUAUACUAGAGUGUGGCAGAGGAAGGUGGAACUCUAGGUGUAGGGGUAAAAUCCGUAGAGAUCAAGAAGAACACCAGUGGCGAAGGCGACUCGCUAGA
Molecule: ribosomal RNA, 378 nt
Filed under: uncultured bacterium
Lineage: Bacteria
Description: partial 16S ribosomal RNA
Rfam family: Bacterial small subunit ribosomal RNA
Source: RNAcentral